Molecule: ribosomal RNA, 383 nt
Filed under: Flavobacterium sp.
Lineage: Bacteria; Pseudomonadati; Bacteroidota; Flavobacteriia; Flavobacteriales; Flavobacteriaceae
Description: bacterial SSU rRNA
Rfam family: Bacterial small subunit ribosomal RNA
Source: RNAcentral
GGGAAUCACAACGAUGGAUACUAGCUGUUGGGAGCAUUUCAGUGGCUAAGCGAAAGUGAUAAGUAUCCCACCUGGGGAGUACGGGCGCAAGCCUGAAACUCAAAGGAAUUGACGGGGGCCCGCACAAGCGGUGGAGCAUGUGGUUUAAUUCGAUGAUACGCGAGGAACCUUACCAAGGCUUAAAUGUAGAUUGACCGAUUUGGAAACAGAUUUUUCGCAAGACAAUUUACAAGGUGCUGCAUGGUUGUCGUCAGCUCGUGCCGUGAGGUGUCAGGUUAAGUCCUAUAACGAGCGCAACCCCUGUUGUUAGUUGCCAUCGAGUCAUGUCGGGAACUCUAACGAGACUGCCAGUGCAAACUGUGAGGAAGGUGGGGGAUGACGUA